RNAcentral lists this unclassified non-coding RNA (344 nucleotides) under soil metagenome. RNAcentral describes it as "partial contains small subunit ribosomal RNA, internal transcribed spacer 1, and 5.8S ribosomal RNA". The record is from RNAcentral.
UUUCCGUAGGUGAACCUGCGGAAGGAUCAUUACACGUUUCCAAACGUACCAACCACGAGAACUCGUUUCUUUAGAGUGUCUGCGAGCGAAACUUGCCAAGGCGCGCCAAAGUAUGGCGGGUCGCGCACGAUUCCUUUUUUGGGGGAUCGUGAGCGGCUGUUUGGCGCUCUGAAAGCCGCUUCGUAGCAACCAUUUUUUCUUUCUUUACAAACGCAUUGUACUCUUCGUACUAAUUCACUUUGUGAAAGUCAGCCACGGUUUCGGCCUCACGGCCGCCGCCGUGCUGAUGAACUAAAAGACAUUUAAUUGCUGAACAACUCUUAGCAACGGAUAUCUUGGUUCUC